Molecule: long non-coding RNA, 572 nt
Organism: Populus trichocarpa (black cottonwood)
Lineage: Eukaryota; Viridiplantae; Streptophyta; Magnoliopsida; Malpighiales; Salicaceae
Exons: 2
Source: RefSeq, a predicted model, not a curated record
GGCAGUACAUUCUCAAACAGGCCUUAAAUGGAGAGGUUUUGACGUUGUAGGCCUCCUCCAUUCAAUAAAAUAAAAAUGAAGGUUUCUUGCUUCUUGCUUCUCCUGAUGAUUUGUUUAGCUAUGAUGUUGCAAGAGCAUCAGCCAAGCAUAGGCUACAAAGCAAUGGCCUUAGUCUUGGACCGCAGUCCUGAAAUGGGUAAGGUUAAAAUUGCUUCUACCAACCAUUUCUCCACGGAAGUAAAGGUGGGGCAGCUAGGAAGGACAUCCCGGAGGCCAAUUCCAUCCCCACCUCCCCCAAAACCCAAUAGAUCGGUUCAUUGGUGGGUCGUUACACCGCCACCACCUAUACCAUCGUCGCCGCCGCCCCCAUCUCCACUAUCGUCAUCUAAAGGCGCAUGAAUUUUAGAGUAGCAUAUGAAAACGUUUUCGUUUUCUCUUUUUUAUUUUAUUUUAUUUGCGAGUUCUUGUUAUGGCAAGAGAUGUAUGUAUUUCAUCUUUCUCUAUGGCUAAGUCAUGGCAAUGGAGAGAUGGAAGAUGGAAAAAUCCAAUAAAAAUCUAGCUCAUUUCUUUUA